Molecule: small RNA, 82 nt
Filed under: Aquimarina intermedia
Lineage: Bacteria; Pseudomonadati; Bacteroidota; Flavobacteriia; Flavobacteriales; Flavobacteriaceae
Description: Flavo-1 RNA
Rfam family: Flavo-1 RNA
Source: Rfam by way of RNAcentral
AUCGAGCAAGGGAUAGAAGUGGCAUCCUUUUAUUUGACCGUCAGGCGGAAAAUAAAAGAUAUAGCGAAUAGCCCGACCCCUU